Molecule: long non-coding RNA, 381 nt
Organism: Dermochelys coriacea (leatherback sea turtle)
Lineage: Eukaryota; Metazoa; Chordata; Testudines; Dermochelyidae
Exons: 2
Source: RefSeq, a predicted model, not a curated record
UAGGCUGGAAAAUAGUGAGGGGUUUUUGUGUGGAAAAUGUUGAAGUUUCUUCCAAAACCUGCAAAUCUUCAGCUGAACUGGGAAAGUUUUUAGCUAAACAUUUGGUGGGGGUUGAUUAAAAAUUGAAAUUUUCCCCACAAAAAAACAUCCCUGUGUUGUUUAAUCAGAAACAGAAUUUUCCAUCAGCAAACCCCUCUGACAGAGAACGACUGACCAGUUGUACUGGGGAUGGGCCUUAGCUGUGUGAAGCCUGCACCAGGGCAGCACGGCCCAGAGAAAUGCCUCCCUAGUCGGACAUGACUUCCACUGUCAGGUAUGGGACACUCAGGCUUGGUCCACACCUAGAACGUAGGGUUGGCAUAGCAACACUGAUCUGGGUGU